RNAcentral lists this ribosomal RNA (393 nucleotides) under uncultured bacterium. Its description in RNAcentral is "partial 16S ribosomal RNA". It matches the Rfam family "Bacterial small subunit ribosomal RNA", at positions 523 to 918 of the family's 1533-position model. The record is from RNAcentral.
AUACGGAAGGUCCGGGCGUUAUCCAGAUUUAUUGGGUUUAAAGGGAGCGCAGGCGGAGAUGCAAGCGUGACGUCAAAUUUCGGGGCUCAACCCCGUCUCGCGUCGCGAACUGCGUCCCUUGGUUGCGGGAAGGGGAGGCGGAACUCGUGGUGUAGCGGUGAAAUGCAUAGAUAUCACGAAGAACUCCGAUCGCGAAGGCAGCCUUCCGGCCCGUCAACGACGCUCAUGCUCGAAGGUGCGGGUAUCAAACAGGAUUAGAUACCCUGGUAGUCCGCACAGUAAACGAUGGACACCCGCGGUUUGGCCUGUAUGGCUGAGCCGCCAAGCGAAAGCGUUAAGUGUCCCACCUGGGGAGUACGCCGGCAACGGUGAAACUCAAAUGAAUUGACGGGG